Long non-coding RNA from Dendrobium catenatum, 307 nucleotides. RefSeq lists it as uncharacterized. Lineage: Eukaryota; Viridiplantae; Streptophyta; Magnoliopsida; Asparagales; Orchidaceae. The record is from RefSeq and is a predicted model, not a curated record. The transcript is spliced from 3 exons.
GGAUUUGAAAAUAUCUACCAAAGGAAACUCUCGAACCUUCACUGGGUCCUCGAGGUUCGGUACAUCAUGGUUUAAACCACAGGAUGGUUAGAUAUUUUCUGCAUACCUUUGGAAAAGAAAAGCGAUAAAAAGAAAAAUAUUUUCUUUCUAAGAACGCCUCUGCUUCCAGCGAUGGAGGCUGAAUCGGCGGAUGGAUCGGCCACCUAUCAAUCUUAUUACUCCCUCCUGGGGAUCCGCCGCAACGCUUCCCUCGCCGAAAUCCGCGUGGCCUACAGAAAGCUUGCCCUGAAUGUUUACAGAAAGUGCA